AUUGAACGCUGGCGGCAGGCCUAACACAUGCAAGUCGAACGGUAACAGGAAGAAGCUUGCUUCUUUGCUGACGAGUGGCGGACGGGUGAGUAAUGUCUGGGAAACUGCCUGAUGGAGGGGGAUAACUACUGGAAACGGUAGCUAUUACCGCAUAACGUCGCAAGACCAAAGAGGGGGACCUUCGGGCCUCUUGCCAUCGGAUGUGCCCAGAUGGGAUUAGCUAGUAGGUGGGGUAACGGCUCACCUAGGCGACGAUCCCUAGCUGGUCUGAGAGGAUGACCAGCCACACUGGAACUGAGACACGGUCCAGACUCCUACGGGAGGCAGCAGUGGGGAAUAUUGCACAAUGGGCGCAAGCCUGAUGCAGCCAUGCCGCGUGUAUGAAGAAGGCCUUCGGGUUGUAAAGUACUUUCAGCGGGGAGGAAGGGAGUAAAGUUAAUACCUUUGCUCAUUGACGUUACCCGCAGAAGAAGCACCGGCUAACUCCGUG
RNAcentral lists this ribosomal RNA (490 nucleotides) under uncultured bacterium. Its description in RNAcentral is "partial 16S ribosomal RNA". It matches the Rfam family "Bacterial small subunit ribosomal RNA", at positions 30 to 507 of the family's 1533-position model. The record is from RNAcentral.